This 77-nucleotide transfer RNA is filed under the name Acidobacteriota bacterium. RNAcentral's name for it is "Acidobacteria bacterium (sediment metagenome) tRNA-Arg". It matches the Rfam family "tRNA". Rfam says of the family: Transfer RNA (tRNA) molecules are approximately 80 nucleotides in length. Their secondary structure includes four short double-helical elements and three loops (D, anti-codon, and T loops). Further hydrogen bonds mediate the characteristic L-shaped molecular structure. tRNAs have two regions of fundamental functional importance: the anti-codon, which is responsible for specific mRNA codon recognition, and the 3' end, to which the tRNAs corresponding amino acid is attached (by aminoacyl-tRNA synthetases). tRNAs cope with the degeneracy of the genetic code in two manners: having more than one tRNA (with a specific anti-codon) for a particular amino acid; and 'wobble' base-pairing, i.e. permitting non-standard base-pairing at the 3rd anti-codon position. The record is from RNAcentral. Lineage: Bacteria; Pseudomonadati; Acidobacteriota.
GGGCCUGUAGCUCAGACGGACAGAGCAGUGGUUUCCUAAACCACGUGUCGGGAGUUCGAGUCUCCCCAGGCCCACCA